RNAcentral lists this ribosomal RNA (331 nucleotides) under uncultured Butyrivibrio sp. Its description in RNAcentral is "bacterial SSU rRNA". It matches the Rfam family "Bacterial small subunit ribosomal RNA", at positions 28 to 339 of the family's 1533-position model. Lineage: Bacteria; Bacillati; Bacillota; Clostridia; Lachnospirales; Lachnospiraceae. The record is from RNAcentral.
GAUGAACGCUGGCGGCGUGCCUAACACAUGCAAGUCGAACGGAGAUUUAACGCUGAUGAAGCUUCGGCAGAAUCUUGUUAAAUCUUAGUGGCGGACGGGUGAGUAACGCGUGGGGAACCUGCCCCAUUCCGGGGGAUACCAGUUGGAAACGACUGUUAAUACCGCAUAAGCGCACGGUACCGCAUGGUACAGUGUGAAAAACUCCGGUGGAAUGGGAUGGCCCCGCGUCUGAUUAGGCAGUUGGCGGGGUAACGGCCCACCAAACCGACGAUCAGUAGCCGACCUGAGAGGGUGACCGGCCACAUUGGGACUGAGACACGGCCCAAACUCC